CUAGCAUAUCAAUAAGCGGAGGAAAAGAAACUAACAAGGAUUCCCUUAGUAACUGCGAGUGAAGUGGGAAGAGCUCAAAUUUGAAAUCUGGCAGUCUCCUUUUUUCUUCUUUGGCUGUCUGAAUUGUAACCUAGAGAAGUGUUACCUGUGCUGGACCGUGUAUAAGUCUCCUGGAAUGGAGUGUCAUAGAGGGUGAGAAUCCUGUGUUUGACAUGGACUCCCAGCGCGUUGUGGUGUGCUCUCAAAGAGUCGAGUUGUUUGGGAAUGCAGCUCUAAAUGGGUGGUAAACUCCAUCUAAAGCUAAAUAUGGGCGAGAGACCGAUAGUGAACAAGUACCGUGAGGGAAAGAUGAAAAGCACUUUGGAAAGAGAGUUAAAAAGUAUGUGAAAUUGUUGAAAGGGAAACGCUUGAGGUCAGCUGUGUCAGAUAGGGAUCAGCCUAGUUUGUUUGCUGGGUGAAUUUCCUAGACUGACAGGCCAACAUCAGUUUUGACUGCCAGAAAAGGGCGGAGGGAAUGUGGCACUUUCGAGUGUGUUAUAGCCUUGUGUCAGAUGUGGCAGUUGGGACUGAGGAUCGCAGCGCGCUUUGAGCUGGGUUCGACCACAUCGCGUCU
RNAcentral lists this ribosomal RNA (613 nucleotides) under Amanita griseostrobilacea. RNAcentral's name for it is "partial large subunit ribosomal RNA". It matches the Rfam family "Eukaryotic large subunit ribosomal RNA", at positions 34 to 608 of the family's 3401-position model. The record is from RNAcentral. Lineage: Eukaryota; Fungi; Basidiomycota; Agaricomycetes; Agaricales; Amanitaceae.